RNAcentral lists this ribosomal RNA (492 nucleotides) under uncultured bacterium. RNAcentral describes it as "partial 16S ribosomal RNA". It matches the Rfam family "Bacterial small subunit ribosomal RNA", at positions 29 to 507 of the family's 1533-position model. The record is from RNAcentral.
AGUGAACGCUGGCGGUAGGCCUAACACAUGCAAGUCGAACGGCAGCACAGUAAGAGCUUGCUCUUACGGGUGGCGAGUGGCGGACGGGUGAGGUAUACAUCGGAAUCUACUUUUUCGUGGGGGAUAACGUAGGGAAACUUACGCUAAUACCGCAUACGACCUACGGGUGAAAGAAGGGGAUCUUCGGACCUUGCGCGAUUGAAUGCGCCGAUGUCGGAUUAGCUAGUUGGCGGGGUAAAGGCCCACCAAGGCGACGAUCCGUAGCUGGUCUGAGAGGAUGAUCAGCCACACUGGAACUGAGACACGGGCCAGACUCCUACGGGAGGCAGCAGUGGGGAAUAUUGGACAAUGGGCGCAAGCCUGAUCCAGCCAUACCGCGUGGGUGAAGAAGGCCUUCGGGUUGUAAAGCCCUUUUGUUGGGAAAGAAAAGCAGCAGGUUAAUACCCCGCUGUUCUGACGGUACCCAAAGAAUAAGCACCGGCUAACUUCGUG